RNAcentral lists this ribosomal RNA (446 nucleotides) under uncultured bacterium. RNAcentral's name for it is "partial 16S ribosomal RNA". It matches the Rfam family "Bacterial small subunit ribosomal RNA", at positions 338 to 795 of the family's 1533-position model. The record is from RNAcentral.
CCUACGGGUGGCAGCAGUCGAGAAUCAUUCACAAUGGGGGAAACCCUGAUGGUGCGACGCCGCGUGGGGGAAUGAAGGUCUUCGGAUUGUAAACCCCUGUCAUGUGGGAGCAAAUUAAAAAGAUAGUACCACAAGAGGAAGAGACGGCUAACUCUGUGCCAGCAGCCGCGGUAAUACAGAGGUCUCAAGCGUUGUUCGGAAUCACUGGGCGUAAGGCGUGCGGAGGCUGUUUCGCAAGUCGUGUGUGAAAGGCGCGGGCUCAACCCGCGGACGGCACAUGAUACUGCGAGACUAGAGUAAUGGAGGGGGAAGCGGAAUUCUCGGUGUAGCAGUGAAAUGCGUAGAUAUCGAGAGGAACACUCGUGGCGAAGGCGGGUUCCUGGACAUUAACUGACGCUGAGGCACGAAGGCCAGGGGAGCGAAAGGGAUUAGAUACCCUGGUAGUC